CGGGAUAUAGCGUAGUUUGGUAGCGCGUCUGGUUUGGGACUAGAAGGUCAUGUGUUCGAAUCACAUUGUUCCGA
This 74-nucleotide transfer RNA is filed under the name Navicula tsukamotoi. RNAcentral describes it as "Haslea tsukamotoi tRNA-Pro". It matches the Rfam family "tRNA". From Rfam's summary of the family: Transfer RNA (tRNA) molecules are approximately 80 nucleotides in length. The record is from RNAcentral. Lineage: Eukaryota; Bacillariophyta; Bacillariophyceae; Naviculales; Naviculaceae.